GUUUUUCCUGAAAGUAAACAAAAUUUUUGGUAAGUAACUUUUCAUCAUGUUAAUCUUUACUCUGAACUGCUCAAUAUAUGUUUUUAUGAUGGUAUCCGUCGUUAUCUUAGAUACCUGUGUUUUGGAUGAGGGAUAUGAAAAUGGGACCGAAAAAUACACUUUUUACUUGCCGGUAGUUAGUUUUGGUCAGUUUUACUUUAGGUUCCUAAUUGUACAUGAGCACUUGUAAGCGUCUGAUUGAAGAUGAAUGAAAUACCAAAAAGUGAAACUACGCCUGACAAUUAUUGAACAGUUGUUUUUGUAGAUAAGUAUUAGUGACCGAGUUGGAGAUACAGUUGCAGGUUGCGAUAGUGAAGUACAUAAUUCUGUUUGUUUUCUAAAGUGGUAGAAAUACAAUGGGGGUUUGAUGUGGAAAGAUGUCUGUACGAAGUUUAUAUAACGGGUUAGAAUGUGGACUUACAUCCACCAGAAGGUAACUAUAUUUCUUGUUUGUGGCUUUUCUAUAGGCAUCCAUAAAAUAAUGCGUUUCACCGGGAAACAUUUGUUUGGCUAAUGCUUGAAUUUGUAAUUUAUCUCUCUGAUUGUUAAACAACACAAAAUAAUGACUGUUUAGACUAAUAGUUCGAAAAUAUUUUCCUCCUGUAAAUAAAUUUUGCACUACGAAAAAGACUGAAAAAUUAUGGUGAUGACUAUAAAUGGUGAAUAAGUUGACAAUAUCUACACUUUGUGAAGCUUUUUGUGCUAAAUCAUCAAUCACUAAUAUUUUGAAGUCAGUUUCCAUAGUCCACAUGUCCAUAUCGUCUUUAGUUGGUAAACCUUCAAAAAAUUCAAUAUUUUCCACAUGUUCUUUCAUAUCAUCAAAUAAGGAU
Long non-coding RNA from Mya arenaria, 869 nucleotides. RefSeq lists it as uncharacterized. NCBI's taxonomy places the organism in Eukaryota, Metazoa, Mollusca, Bivalvia, Myida, Myidae. The record is from RefSeq and is a predicted model, not a curated record. The transcript has 3 exons.